ACGGCUCAGUAACACGUGGAUAAUCUACCCUUAGGACCGGGAUAACCUUGGGAAACUGAGGAUAAUACUGGAUAGGCAAUUAUUCCUGUAAUGGUUUUUUGUUUAAAUGUUUUUUCGCCUAAGGAUGAGUCUGCGGCCGAUUAGGUAGUUGGUUAGGUAAUGGCUUACCAAGCCGUUGAUCGGUACGGGUUGUGAGAGCAAGAGCCCGGAGAUGGAACCUGAGACAAGGUUCCAGGCCCUACGGGGUGCAGCAGGCGCGAAACCUCCGCAAUGUGAGAAAUCGCGACGGGGGGAUCCCAAGUGCCAUUCUUAACGGGAUGGCUUUUCAUUAGUGUAAAGAGCUUUUGGAAUAAGAGCUGGGCAAGACCGGUGCCAGCCGCCGCGGUAACACCGGCAGCUCUAGUGGUAACAAUUUUUAUUGGGCCUAAAGCGUCCGUAGCCGGUUUAAUAAGUCUCUGGUGAAAUCCUGUAGCUUAACUGUGGGAAUUGCUGGAGAUACUAUUAGGCUUGAGACCGGGAGAGGUUAGAGGUACUCCCAGGGUAGAGGUGAAAUUCUGUAAUCCUGGGAGGACCGCCUGUUGCGAAGGCGUCUAAACUGGAACGGUUCUGACGGUGAGGGACGAAAGUUAGGGGGCGCGAAC
This 641-nucleotide ribosomal RNA is filed under the name uncultured archaeon. Its description in RNAcentral is "bacterial SSU rRNA". It matches the Rfam family "Archaeal small subunit ribosomal RNA", at positions 85 to 724 of the family's 1478-position model. The record is from RNAcentral.